This 21431-nucleotide long non-coding RNA is filed under the name Gossypium barbadense (sea-island cotton). RNAcentral's name for it is "long non-coding RNA (GBAR_LNC009488)". The record is from RNAcentral. Lineage: Eukaryota; Viridiplantae; Streptophyta; Magnoliopsida; Malvales; Malvaceae.
GCAGUGGUGGUGGAGUCUAUGAGGAAGAAUAGGAUAAAAUGACAACGGUGGUAAUGAGAAAUAAUAGAAUGGGAAGAGGAAACCCAACAAUCAUUUGAAGGGCAAAGAGAAUGAAAAGAAGCCAAUAUAGUGCUUCUUUAUUGGAUCUGGUGCCCUGAGUAUAGCAUUUUUAUCUAAGUACACUUGUAAUUUUUUUGAACAGGUUGAUUAAUAAAAUUGUUCAUGAAUUACAUUAGUACUUUGUAUAUUUUCCUUGCUUGUUUUUUACACACAAAGUAAAAUGAAAGCAAAUGUUUCUCACUGGUUGUCUAAUGUUUAACUAAAACUAAAUGGUAUUACGGGGUUGGAUCGUAAUACAAAAAGGCAACUUAUAUUAGUUGACGAACCAAAACAUGUCCUUAGUCUAAUUAGAAAUGAGCAAACCAAUUGAAAGACUAAUAUGUCGUCUAUCAAGUCCAAUUUGAGAGAUGCCUUAUCUUGUGCAUCAAAAUGGAUGACUCCCAAAAGAUAGAGACAUAAAUGUGACUGACUGGACUGGCAGUACAUCGGACAUGACCGAAACAAAAUAGAUCCUAAAUUGGUUUAUGGAUUUAUUCACUUGUGACGUUCAUAAUGUGGCAUACCUAAAUCCUGAGUGUAUGGCAGAUUAUGUAUGUGUGACUCGUACACUUUGAUGUAAGUAAAAUUCAGAGUUCGAAUAGAUAAGAAACCAAAAGUUGGUAUGUUAGGUGUACAACUUUUGUAAUAUGUAGCGUCAUUCAAAAUAGUGGAAUGCAUAGCCCAAAACAUGGGUAAAUGAUAUCCUCUCAUUGGCAUUACAUAGUUGAUGAAAAGUAAACGUGAUCACGGGUUGUCUGUCUUUGUGAUAUAUAACUUGAUCACUAUUUGAUAGUGAUUGACUUUUCAUGAAGGAAGAUGUAAUGAUUACCAUGAGAUAAAAUAGGAUCAUUGGAAGAAUGAAUAUUAACCCAAAGAGAUCAAGGAUAUCCUAUGAGGGUAACUUACUUAUAACAAGGUCAUUGGAUGAGCAUUGAUCAAGUUACUUUCGUAAUGGUAUGUCGUUGAAGAGAGCUCAAUCACGAUACUAUAGUGGAAUAACUUCGUGACUAAAUGAGUUUAUAAUCAAUAGAAAAAAAGCCAGAACUUAAUUAUAAAUCAUUUGAGCCUCAACUACAUAUAUCCAAUUGAUCCCUCCAUUAGCUCAUUGAAACCAUAAAUGAAUUGUGUGUUUAAAUAGAAACGAACAGAAUGAAUAGGAAAAGAGAAAUGAGAAAUGUUCAGGAAUGAUUAUGGUUUUCUUCGAAAUGGAGAAAUGGAAUCAUUUGAAAAUGAAUAUAGGUUUCAAAAAAUGGAAACGGAAAUGAAAAUGAAAAUGGAAAUAAUCCAUUUGCAAUCCUAUAUGGAUUACUUAAAAAUGAUCGGAAGAAUAAAUUUAUGUUUUUGGACUGCUUUGAAGCCCAAAAAUGAAAAUAAACCAUUUGGUCAUAGUGAACAUGUUGAAUUGUGAAAUAUUAAACAUAUUUUCUCGAAAUUUUCUAGGGGAAAAAUCAUCAAAAUUUUACUAGAGGUAAAAUUGUCAAAUUUUUGCUAGGGGUAAAAUAGGGAUGAAAAAAUUGUUUUAUAUAUAAAUAUUAAAGUUUAUUUUGGGAAAUAGAAAAACUAAAUCGGGUUGGAUCACAUUAUAGAGUACUGGGUCAAAAAAGCUUAGGAAGUACUUGUAAUUGGACCCAAUGUGAGAGAGGCCCAAAAACCACUCAUAGACAUAAAGGGGGCAGUAACUCUAGGAGGAAACUAAGGUGUGUCGUCUACCUUAGUACUAUUCUAAAUAAGAUUUUGUUUUUCUAUUUGAAAUAAACCACUACAACUCAACAAUGGUUCUACCUUAUCUUCCUAUAAAUAUAUGGCACUUGUUUAAUAAAAAUAUCUAUUCAUUAUAGUAACACCCUUUGUAUAUUGUCCUUAAUGUUUUUGCAUGCAAAACAAAGUGGAAGCAAAUAUUGACUUACUGUUUAUCUUACAUUUAACUAAUACUAAGCGGUAUCACAUGGCCGAAUUGUAAUACAGAUUGAUGGCUUGUAUUAGUAGAUGAAGCUAAACAUAUCUUUAGUCUAAUUGAAAAUGAGCAAACCGAUUGAAAGACUAAUAUGUUGUCUAUCAAGUCCAAUUGGGGAGAUGCUAUGUCUUGAGCAUUAAAGCGGAUGUCUCCUAGAAGAUAGAGACAAAAGUGACUGAUUGGACUAACAGUACAUUAGACAAGACCCAAGUAGAAGAAAUCCUAAAUUAGUUUAUGGCUUUAUUCACUUUUGACAUUCAUAGAAUGACAUACCUUAAUCAUUAAUGGAUGAUGAACUAUUUAUACGCGACUCGUAUAAUUUGAUGUAAGUAAAAGCCUAAGUUAAAAUAUAUAAGGAAUCGAAAGUUGGUGCAUUGGGUAUACGACUUCUGCAAUAUAUAGUAUCAUUCACAAUAGUGAAAUUCGUAGCCUAAUUAAUGGGUAAAUGAUAUCUUCUCAUCGAUAUUUCAUAUUAGAUGAAAAGUAAACAUAGCCACCGGUCGUUUGACUUUUUGAUAAAUGACUUUAUUACUGUUUGAUAGUAAUUGACUUUUUAUGAAAGAAGAUGUGAUGAUUAACAUAAGAUAAAAUAGGACCAUGUUGGGAGAAUGAAUUUAUCCUAAAUUGGUUAAGGAUGCCCUAUGAGUGUAAUACACUAAUGAUAAGGUCAUUAGACAAGCACUAAUUAAGUAGCUUUCUUAAUGGUAUGUAGUUAGGAAUAGCUUAGUCACGAGACUAUAGUGGAAUGACUUCAUGACUAGAUAAGUUUAUAAUUAAUAAGCGAAAAGUUGAAAUUUAAUUUAUAAAUUAUUUGAGCCCUAAUUACAUAUGCCCAAUUGAUCCCUCUACAAGUUCUUUGAAACCAAAAAUGAAUUGCAUGUAAAAUCAAAUGAAUAGAAAUGAUGAAGUUAAAGAAAUGAGUCGCAUUCACAAAUGAAUGAAUUUUAUCACUGAUUUUAAAAAUGACUUGAGAAUUAAUUUAAUGUCUUCAAAUUAUCAUUUAAUUAAUUUUAAUUAAAUAAUUUAAGUUCAAAAAUAGAAUUAAAUUAAUUAUUCAGUAUUAAUCCAUUGAAUAUGUAAAUUAAAUAUAUUUCAUACUAGUUUCUUUUAUAGUAAAAUUGUCGUCACUUUAUUUUAUAGUAAAAUCGUCAUUACUUUGAUGGAAUUAGAAUUGAGUUGAGAAAAUUAUUUACUUGAUAAAUUAAUUAAGUAAAUAAUAUUUUUUGGGGAAUAGAAAACAAAUAUUGAGUUGGAUUAAAUUAUAAAGUGUUGAAUAAAAAGUCUAGGAAGCACAUAUAAUUGGACCUAAUACAUGAGAGGUCCAAUUCUUCUCAUUUUACAUAUGAGGGACAACAACCCUAGUGUUUUUAUCUAGGGUGUGUCACCCCCUUUUUCUAGUUAGACAAAGAGAGUUAUUAUUAUUAUUAAAUAUACAUUUUGUGUUAUACUUAUUCAACCAAGAUUCUCCUAUCUCAUUCUAUAAAUAGAUGGCACUGGUAAAGCCAUUAACACAUAAGUUUCAAAUAUUGUUCUUAUGUCAAAAAGUAUAAAAUUUUAUUUUCUUAGAAUUAAAUUUUAUUUUUUGAAAAUAAUAAUUUCUACCGGUUUCUAUUGAGAGAAUUACUUUUCUAUUGAAAGUAAUAAAUCGUUUUUAUUUUUUUGUUUGGUUCUUGUUAUUCGAGUCCACACUCGAUGUCAUUCGAGGUACGAGGAUAGUGGAGAAGGUCGUUCGGUUGAAAACUGAGAACGUUUUGGAUUUGUCUUGCACAAAACAUUGAUAAUUUUCGAGAAAAUAUUUACUACUAUAAAUAUCACAAACCGUCUUGAUUUUAAAAAAAUUUAGACUUUUGUUGUAACCGAAAAUAGUUUAAAUAACCAAAAUUUUUCAACAGAUUGCUGAGUUAUUAGUGGGGCUACCACCUAUGAGAGGUGGGUUUUGCAUCUAACUUCACGGGUAAAGAAGUGGUGCAAACUGGGAAGUUAAAUCGAGUAAAUGCUACGAGCGAGGUACAUCGCAAACACUUAUCUAGUGUUUUUCAUUAUGACUUACCAUUUCUUUCGCAAAGACACAGGGGACUUUUUAGAGUUUUGAAGCAAGUAAGUCAAUGGGCUUACAAAACGGAGUUGGCGGCAAUACUCAAGGUUAACCAGUGUUCAAUGUGGGCAUGACAGAGCCUAUUUGUAUGGAUCAAAGGGAUCCCUAAUCAAGGAAAGUCACAAUAGGGGCAAGUAGGAGUGGUGGGCUCUUGCAAAUGAAGUGUAAAAAUAUGAGGAAUAGUUUGAGUUAGACGACGAAAACAUAAGAAGAGGUAAAUGCUCUAUUGGAUCUGGUUCCCUAAAUGUAGUAUUUUCACCUAUGUAUACAUGUAAUUUUUUGAACAGAUUGGUUAAUAAAAUUAUUCAUGAAUUACAUUAAUAGUUUAUAUAUUUUCCUUACAAUUUUUUUGCAAGUAAAGCAAAAUAAAAGAAAAUGUUGCUCACUAGUUGUCUAAUGUUUAACUAAUACUAAGUGGUAUUACGUGGUUGGAUUAUAAUACAAAAAGACAACUUAUAUUACGUGGUGGAAUGACUUCGUGACUAAAUGAAUUUAUAAUUAAUAGGUGAAAAUUGGAACUUAAUUAUAAAUCAUUUGAGCCUCAACUGUAUAUGUCCAAUCGGUUCCUCCGCUAACUUGUUGAAACUAGAAAUGAAUUGCAUAUUGAAUCAAAUUUGCAGAAAUAAAUAGAAAUGGUGAAAUAGAGAAAUAGAAAACAUUUGGAAAUGAUUAAGGUUUUAUCCAAAAUGAAAAUGAAAAUGUAGAAAAUGUGGUUUUCUCCAAAAUGAAGAUGGAAAUAGAAAUGGGAAUGAAAAUGAAAAUGCGAAAUGAACAAUAAUUUCUCAAAAAUGAUCAUAAGAUUGAGUUUAUGUUUUCGAGUAAUUUCAAAGCUUGAAAAUUGAAAAUAAACUAUUCGAUCAUAAUGAAAAAGUUUAAUUAUGAAAUAUUAAAUACAAUUUCAAAAAUUUUACCAAGGGUAAAAUCAUCAUAAUUUUAUUGAGGGUAAAUUGGGAUGAGAAAAUCAUUUAAUUUAAAUAUAUUGAAGUUUAUCUUCAAAAAUAGAAAAAUAUAAUUGGAUUGGAUCAAAUUAUAAAGUACUAGGUCGAAAAGUUAGCGAAGUACUCGUAAUUAGACCUGAUGUGAAAGAGGCCAAAAUCCUCUCUUGGAAUAUGAAGGGGCAGCAACCCUAGUAGGAAUACUAGGGGAUGCGUCCACCCCACUCCUACUCUAAGUAGGAAGUUAUUUUUCUAGUUGAAAUAAACUUCUACAAUUCAACAAGGUUCUACAUUCUCUUCUUAAAAAUAGAUGGCACUGGUAGAGCUAUUUACACAACUUUUGGAUAUCGUUAUUCUACCCGAAAAUAGAACGACUUCUAUUCUCUAAGAAAUAAAUAUAUUUUCUGGAAUAAUGAUUCUGCUGAUUUCUAUUUAAAAAGAGAAUUUUUCAUUUUAACCACAAAAGAAAAUAAAACUAUUUCUAUUUUUUGUGUUUAAUUCGAAUUGUUCGAACCCAAACUCGAAGCAAUUCAUGGUACAAGAAUAGCGGAGAAGAUCAUUUGGUUAAAAAUCGAGAACGGCAAGGAUCCUUUUAUUCGAAAACAUAGGUAUGGUUUCAGUCUAGGGUUUAUUGCUAUAAAUAUUACAAACUGAGUCAAUUUUUAAAAUUUUUAUUCUUCGCUAUGCAAGAAAACCAUUUUCGAACUAGAUUUUUUCCAACAUGUUCUAAGGAAAGGAACUACCCAAUACAAAGACUAGUUAGGAAUCAGCCAUGACAUUCAGGAAGUUCUUGGAUGAGUUAAACUAGUGUUAUUUCAAAAAUACAAUGAGGGCGUCGCGAGAAUGGGUGGGAGAAAUUUUCACGAGUCAUAGAUGAAAGCCCAUGACCAUUGCGCAUAGAAUUGGCCACAGAGGUCAAUUCUAGGCUCAUUUAACCCACACAAAUUGGCCUGAUUCGUGGAACAAAUUAAGAAGCCCAUCUACUUAAAACCUUGGUGGCCCAAUGAAACACUCCAGUAAAAUUAGAGUUACUAUGGUGAAUAUUUGUAAUCCUAAGGGAUAAGAUUAUAUAGAGUUUAAAUUCCUUAAGACUCUAAUAUUAUAGAUAGGCUCCAAUGAUACUAUUGUUUCGUACUAUUAUGGAAGAAGAUUCAAAUAUGUUAUUAGGUGUUCCAUUUUAUUUUCCCAUUAAGGCCGAACCUAAACAUGUGCUCAAGAGAUAGUUAUCCAUACACUGAAAAGGAUAUAAGGGUUAUUGAGAAGAGAAGAGUCAUGGUGGUCCCCUUUGGAUCGCCCAGAUCCCAUGAGUGAAUAAAAAGUUGGAUCUAUAUUGGAUCUCACCUCGAUCGUCAAUGUAAUUUAAAUUGUAUUAUUGGAUGUGAUAGGUGCUUAACUAUAAAUAGAGGUCUUCUCCCUCGUUUGUAAUCAUUCCAUUUUGCACUCAAUGUAAUUUAUUCAGAGUAAUAGAAUACUUUGAGAGCAUUUAUUCAAACACUUGGUCUGCAUUUGCCUCCUUGUGGGUUUCUAUUCAUUCAUUGCUUAUUCGCUUGAGAGUCUACUUUUGCUUAUUGUCAUCAAGUCGAGUGAUACUAGACUCAGUCAACCCCUUAAUAAUAUUAUAGAUGAGUAAGGAUUGUAUGAAACUGUGAUUCCACGUCAUCUAUGUCACUUUCCAAUAGGAGAAUGACAAAUCAGAUUUUUUCUCCUGAUUUUUAGCAUUUUUAGUUGGAUUUGAAUUCUUUUAGGAGAAAAAAUCUAAUUUGUCAUUCUCCUAUUGAAAAGGGAUAGGGAUGACGUGGUUUCACAAUUUCAUACAAUUAUUUCUAUAUUAUAGAUAGAUAAAUAGAUAAAUAAUAGACAUUAGAUUAGUAACACUAAGAAUAUAGGUAAAGAAAAGAAUUAUAUUAAAAAUGUAUUUAUAUAAAAUUUAUUCAACUAUUGAAUCAUAGGUGGAGUGAUAAAUUAUUUAGAUAUAAAUUAAUUUUGGGUUUAAUCCCUAGAUAUUUAGUUUCUAAUGGUGAUUUCUAAUUUGUUUUAUUUAAGCAUUUUUAUAAAUAAGAAAAUACAAUUAUAAUAAUAGUUAUCACUUUUUAAAAAUUUGAAUUGAUGGCUUGAAAUACUAAAUUCAGUAAAAACUAUUAUUACAGUAUAGAUACUGUACGUUCCAUACUUCUGGCAAAAACAGAUGUAAUAAUAAUCUAUACUACCAAAUAGAAAAGGAAGUCUCUAAAGCCUUCCUGCAUGACAUUUGUCCAUUGCCUUUUUUGGUUAAACCCUUUAAAAUGAUUUAAAUUUAGUUUUGAUUUCUACACUUUUUACAAAAUUUGAGAUUUAUUAUUUAUAUUUUAGUUUUGAUAUGAUUUUUAUAAUAUUAUCAUUUAGUUUAAAUAUUUUAUUUGAAUUAAAAUAUUAUUGUAAUUUUUUUAAGAAUUGUUAAUACAGUUAAUGUUUUUCUUUUUCUUUUUUUGUUAAUAUUAGGUUCAUUAAAAUGGUAUUUUAACAAUUUUAAUAACUGAAUUUAAAUUUUUAAUUUCAAAAAGUAAUUCUAAAUUUUAAAUAUACAAAAAAUAUAAAAACUUAAAAGCAUAUUAUAAUUUAUAAAUUUUUACUUUAUAAUUUAAUAAAAAGAAUUAAAUAAUUAAUCUAAUGAGAAGUCCAUACGAGUGAAAUAUUAAUCUCUGAAGAAUAAUCAAAUAUUCAGGAUUAAGUAUAGUAAUGGUAACAGAACGGAGCGGAUUUUUGCUUACUCUGGCUUGAUGUUCUACCACCAUGUCCCAACCUGAUCCUAACCUCAAAAAAAGAAAAAGAAAAAAGAGUUAACUUGCCUCGAAUCUGCACUAAAAAAUAAUUGUAUAUCCUACCAGAAUUCAAUUUUUUUUUUGAAUUUGUAAUGAAUUAAUUUUAAAAAAAUGGCACUACUUCCCAUUGAAUUUGUUGCGUUCUUUUUUCUUUCUAACUUCGAAUUUGUUGGGUUCAUGAUUUACUUUUGGAGCUACUGUGAUUUACAACAAAAACAAAUCUUGAGAUGCCUAAGUAACAUUUUGUGAAUGUUUGUGUGGGUGCGAUUUACAUUAAAAAGAUGAAAAAGAUAGGGAAAAUAAAUUGGUAUGAAAUGAAAGUAAAUCCAGUAAAAUAAUGUUAAUUUUUUUUAAAUAUAAUUAAUAUUAAAUAUAUAAAAGGACAACACGAAAUGCGGGGAUUUCACACUAAACCCAACCUUACACCAAUCCACCGGAAACCUGAUUUAAAAAAAAAAAACUGGAUUCAUGUACUCAAAACUUUUGGGUUGGUGGUCUUUUCCGUCCCUAAACUUUAUAGUUGAAAAAUUAGUGAUAACUACGAUCUCAAUUUGCGUAAACCAACGUGUAAUUGAGUAAAUAGUGGAACUUACUACAUCCAGACAAACAACAAUUGGGUUUGAAAUUGGCAUCUUAUCAUUCGGGAAAGUUGAAAUUCCAUUUUACUUCAUCACAGGCAGACAAAAAUCCUAAGUCGCCUAAUUUGACUAUUCAGCUUUGCAUCACAACUUGUAUAAAUGUAUAGGUUAUUCCUUAUAUUUAUUAGUUUGAAUUAAAUUAUUUAUUUAAUCAUUUUAUGUUGUAUAAUUCGGAAAAACUUGGAUCACAAAAUUUCAAUUUAAUGUCAAUAAAGAAAUUUUGAAAAUUUAACUUCAAGUUCCACCCAUUUAUAAUCAUAAAUUAUAAAUAAUAAAUAAGAAAAUUAAGAUGUUAUGUAAGAUUGCCUGGGACACGACCGUGUGAAAUUACUUUGAAUGUUACACGGUUUCUCACAUGGUUGGCCACACGGCCAUGUCCCUGAGCCACACGGCCAUGUGACCUCUAUUUUCAAAUUUUUCAAAAUUUUCUGUUUUUGUUUCAAAAUGGUCCUAGAAUGUUUCUAAAUUAUUUUUAGGGUCUCAUAGGCUCGAUUUAAAGCCAUUAAGUGUAUAUUAUUUUAUAAAUGAAUUGUGUAAAUGAAUGUUAGAAAUUAAAUUGAUUUAUUUGUUUCUAUUUGGGAUUUAAUGUUCGAAUUGUACUAUAAUGCUGCACAACUCUAAUCCAACAACAGAGACGGGAUAGGGGUGUUACAUCUAAAAUGAACUUUUUAACUUCCCAUUGUAGUUUUUGAGAACAAUGUCAAACACCUUAAAUUAACAAAUCACACUUUUUCACAACGCUUUUCUGUUGCACUUUCUAAAAGCACUUUUUCUAAACUGAGCUUUUCAAAAGCACUUAUCAAUUGCACUAGAAAUGUCAAAUUGGCCCUUAGCAUGCUUUAAAGUGCUCUUUUAGUGUGCUUAUUAGAUCCUAAAGGCUAUCUAGUACCUCUUCAAGAAAGAUUGAAGGUUGAUUUAGGUAAUUUUAGCAUAAGACUUGUGUCUAAGGCCACAAGUAACAUUCCUGGUAUUUUUCGAGAAGUGAACAAUGUCAAUUUGGGUUCAUAUGUACUCAAAAUUUUCAAAUAUGAAAAAAAUAGAAUUAAUAAUAUUAAUAGAAAAGGUGAUUGGACAUUUUAAGAAAUUAAAAGGACUUCUGAAUUUAGGAAAUUUAAUUCAAGGAAUUUACUAAAUUGUAAAAGUGUUGGGCUAUAGCAUUAAAACUAAAAAUAUGAAAUAAGUAGAUAAUAAGGAUUGGAAACAUAAUUAUAACAAAAGGGAGUGAUGUGAAAGGAUGAUGGAUAGAUUUUUUUUAGAAAUUAUUAAACUAAUGAACAAUAAUGUUUGGAUGUUCAAAUCCUUAUGGUUUUAACUAUUAAAAACUAACGUGAUUGAUGAAAUAAUUAAACAAUUACACGUAGCGUGUCAAAUGUACCUUAUGUGAAAAUUUUAAAAUUUUCAUAAAACUAAAUCCAUAUUGUGUUAUCUAUGACAAUAAAUUUUAUCAAAAUUAGUACUUGUGUUUUGGAAUCACAAGACUCGUCGAAUUCCUGACUUUCUACCAAAUGAUCUUCUCCGUUAUUCUCGAACUCUCGAUUGGUAAGAGAGUAAGCUCUUAACCCAAACUGAUCACAAAACAAAAAUAAUAACUUUCCAGUGGGAAAAAUUCAACUUUCUUUAGGUCAAAACAUAGAACCGAGUACUUAGAAAAUUUAGAUAUUAUUUUUUAACUAGUAAAUUUUUCUAAAUCUUGAUAGAGUGUCCAUGUAUAUGAUGCGUGUGUUUUUGGGUCACCCAUGGCCCCUUUAUAUAGAAAAAAAUCAUAAGAUUUCUAUUUGAACAGGAGGAGAGGAAAAAUAAUAUUUUAAUAGAAAACUCAGAGUCCCUCCAAGAUAACAUAUGGUGGGCGGCACUGGCACUUAGGGAUAUCAGUGUGCCAUCCAUCCCUUCUUCAAGAUAUGUUGUUUGAGCUUUUCAUAUAUGGAGUACAAUUAUAUAUCUAUAAACAAAUUUUAAUAUUAAUUAAAACAAGCUCAUAUAAUUAUCCAACCUAAUAAUCAGUUUUCUAUUCCCAAAAUAUUAUUUAUUUAAUUAAUUAAAAAUUAAUUUAUUUUCUCAAUUCAGUUUUAAUUUUGCCAAAGUAAUGAUGACUUUAUCGUAUUAAAAUUUAUGAGUAAAUAAAUUUAAUUUUCUCAUUAAGUUAAAAUAUGAUGACUGAUUAAUUUAAUUUUCAGUUUGAACUUCAAUUAUGUAAUUAUAAUCAAUUAAAUGACAAAUAAAAGAAACUAAAUUAAUUUCUAAGUCAUUUUUUUGUUCCUUUUGAGAAAAUGCUUACUGCAAAUAGUAAUUUAUGCAAUAUAUUUCUCUUUCAUUGUUUUCAUUCAUUCAUUAUAUCAGUUCUAAUUGCAACCAAUACAAGGUCGUGUUGAGUUGGCAGAGGGAUCGCUUGGACAUAUAUAUUUAGGGCUUAAAUAAUUUGUAAUUAACUUUCUACUCUUCAUCUAUUAGUUACAACAUUAUUUAGUAAUGGAGUCAAUCCACUAUAAGUACCAUGAUUGAUCUCUUCAUUAUAUACUAUCAUGAAAACAACCUAGAUUUAUGCUUUGUCCAAAGAUCUUGUCAUUUGUGUGUUAAUCUUUUAAGAUAUUAUUAGUCUUUUUGGGUUGUAUUCGUUCACUCAAAUAUAAUCAUAUUUUAUCUCAUGACCACCAUUGCAUUUUCCAUGAUGAAAAAAGAUUAUUACUAAUGAAUUAGAAUAACAAUCAUGUGUUCCCAUCGAAUAACCCGUGAUCACAUUUCCUUUUUCUUAAUUCAUGCAAUGUCAAUGAGAGGAUAUCAUUUACUUUUUUAAUUAAGCUAUGAAUUCUGCUAUUGUAAGAAAAUUCAUGCCAUACAUAAUGUUAUACCCAACACAUCAACUUUCAGCUCUAACAAUGACUAAGCUUAAGCUUUCAACAUGCCAGUUACAUACGCACAAUCAGUUAUUUACUUAGAAUUGAGAUAAACCACACUAUGAACAUCAAAAGUGAAUUUAUCUAUAAACAAAUUUAGGGUUAAUUCAACUUGGGCCUGGUCUGAUGUAUUGCCAAGCUAGAAAACCACACACGUCUUUAUCUUUUUGGGAGUCAUACGCUCUGAUACUUAAAACAAGAUAUCUUUCCAAUUAGACUGAAUAGAUGACAUAAUAGCCCCUUGAAUUAGUUUCUCAUUUUGAUUUGUCGGACUACAAACUAUUUAGAUUACCUACUAAUAUAAGUUUUCUUCCUACAUUAUAAUUCAUCCCUAUAAUGCAACUUAGUUUUAGUUAAACCUAAAGUAAUUAGUGAGCCAAUAUUUUCUUAGUUCAUUUUUUUUCAUGCAAAAACUAGAGAGGACAAAAUAAGAAAUACAAUAAUUAAACUAUGAAAUAUUAUUAACCAAUCUGGUAAAAAAAUCACAGCAUUAUGAUAAAAUAAUUGCACUAAGAGCACAAAAUCUCAACACAAUCACCUUAGCCAAGCACUUUUUCGGCAUGUCUCAUGCAUUGUAAUUAUUUUUACAUGAUUUGAAGAGGCAACAACUAAUGUCUAAUUUGUUGAAUGCCAUAAUAUGAUAAUAUCUUAGCAUGUAAAUAAAUAUCCCUUUUAAGAUAGACCUUUAUUUGAAUAUGAUAAAUAUCUAGUAUCAGCAUAACCAACUAAUAAAGAUGAAUCACUUGAAUAAAAUAACCUCAUAUCAGUGGUUCCCCUAAGAUAUUUAAAUAUAUGUUUAAUUUAAUUCGAAUGUCUAUAUAUUGAAAAAGAGCUAAAUCUUGCUAACAAGCUUACAACGAGUGCUAUAUCAAGUUGUGUGUUAUUUGCAAGAUACAUUAAUGGCCUUACAACACUUAGAUAUGGUACUUUAGUGCAAAGAAACUUUUCAUCAUUCUCACAAGGAUGAACCAAGUCUUUAUUCACAUCAAGUGAUUUUACAACCAUCAAGGUACUCAAUAGAUGUUCUUUAUCCAUGUAAAAUUUCUUUAAGAUCUUUUUUGUAUAAGUUGGUUGAUGGAUGAAUUUCAUCUUUUAUAUGCUUGAUCUACAGGUCAAGACAAAACUUUGUUUCCCAAUACCUUUCUUUUCAAAUUAAUUCUUUAGGUAAUCUAUUGCAUUUUAAAGCUCUUUGUGAGUUCUAGUAAUAUUUAAAUCGUUAGAAAAAUAAUAAUUAUCACAAAAUCUGAUCAAGAACUUUUUAUAAAAACAAAUAGGCAAAUUAGAUUAUUUUUAUAAUAUUCUUUCAACAACUAUUCACUAAAACGAUUGUACCACAUAUGACUAGAUUAUUUUAAUCCAUAUAAGGAUUUCUUUAAUCUAAUUGAGCAAUUUUCCUGAGAAUCUCUAUAUUCUUCAAGGACUUUCAUAUAAACUUCAUCAUCUAAUGAGUUAUACAAAUAAGUUGUAAUAAAAUCCAUUAGACACAUAUCAAGUUUUUCACAUAUUGUCAGACUAAUAAGAUAUCUAACAUAAUUGUAUAUACCAUAGGAGAGUAUGUAUCUCCAUAAUUAGUUUUGAGCUUUGUGAAAAUUCUUUUGCUACAUAUCUCCAUAAUUAGUUUUGAGCUUUGUGAAAAUUCUUUUGCUACAAGUCGUGCUUUAUAUAUAAUGAUCUCAUUUUUCACAUUCCAUUUUUUCACAAAUUCGCAUUUGUAUCUUACCAAGUUUAUAAUCUCAUUUGCAUUCAAUCCACAAAAUAACUAUUAUUUAGACGCCUUAGGUAUAUGCCGACACAAAAGAUAGACAUCACUACAUUUGAGUCGAGAGUGUUGUUGGAUGCUGAAUUGGUGAUCAAAAUUGAAGUACCUAAUCUGCACAUGGAAAACAAAAUAGUACGCUGAGUAAAACUCAGUGGUAUUUUUAUAAUUCAAAUAUUUAAAGACAAUAUAAUGUAAUAUGCAUAUUUUAAUUAUAAGCACAUUUGAAUAUUUAAGACCACAUUUAUUCAUACAAUGACAUUAGCCAUUCAAUAUUCAAUUCAUAAAUACAUCAUUUCAUAUUAUUCUCAAAUCUCAUCACUUGCUAUAUAAUAGCUUUUCACAAUUUAAUAUAUAUCAUUUAAACAAUAAUAUUAUUCAAACCAUAUCCAAUUCAUGAAUACGUAAUUCAUGUGUCUCAUUUUCAUGUUUCAAUUCACUAUCCCAUUUUUAUUCACACAAAAUAUCAUUCAAUAUCAAUAAUAGUACUAUUUUAUUUAAUUACCCCUAUUAACACGACUCAGACUCGGACGGAUACACAGAUCCAACCAAUACACCAGUUCGGCACCCAGUGCAUUAUUGGAUAAAUCUGAAGUAAUAACUGCGCCCAGCGCUACAUAAAUUUGACACCCAGUAUCUCAUCGGUUAAACCAAAGCAAAUUGGCACCCAGUGCCUCAUCGACUCAAAGUCGAAGAAAUCCUUGAACUCUUCCAAGCCUAUGGCAUGCCAUCUAUAUCAGGCUCAGCCUGAUACAGUUAAUAGGGUUUAAUUUCACUUUCCAAAUACAACUAAUAUUCAAUUAUCAUAUUUGCACAUAUAUAUUCAUUUCAAUUCAAAUAAUCAAUAUAUUCAUAAUAUAUAUAUCAAUUCAAUCCAUUUAAUUAACUUUUAAUUCAAUUCAAUGUCAAAGUGCUAAAUACUCACCUCAAUACUUACCAUAUGUAUUAAAUAAAAAAUACAACAAUUAAUAACUAGUUUCGGAUUAUAGAAAUACAAACCAAGAAUUCCGAGCUAUUUCACGUCAACUUUAUCUUUCUCUUUUUUAGUUGAGGUUUCCGGUACGAUGUUAGCUACGGGAUUAAAACAAUUAAAAUUUAUCAAUACAACAUAAUUCAAUUUCAUAUUGAAUAUUUCAAUUUUUAUUCAAUAUUUUCCUAAAUUCCAAUUUAAUCCCUAAACCGAGACUAAUUUUUAUUCUUCACAAUUAAUUCUAUAUUUUCAUAAAAUUUCCACUUUAAACUAAAUUUAACUCCCUAUUUUCACUUAAAUCCUUAAAUUUCAAAAUUUUCACAAUUUAGUCUCUAUAACUCAAAAUUUACAAUUCAUUCUACAAUUUAAUCCUUUUUCAUUUCUAACUUAAAAAUCUAUCCAUUUAAUCCCUAAUACUAAAAUUAUUCAACAUUAACAAUAUUUAAAAUCUCAAUAAUUGCUAAAAUUUCGACAUGAGUCGGGUAGUACUUAACACUGGGAUUUCAAAAACAUAAAAAUUACAAGAAAAUGGGACUAAAUUGACUAACCAAUUGAACUUGGAACUUUGAAACCCCUAAGUCGUAGGUUCUUCUUUCUUUCUCUUUUUCUUUUUCUUUCUUUCUCAUUCAUUUUGCUUUUGUCUUUCUUCAUUUAUUUUACUUAUUUGUUUCAUUAUAUUCACUUUAUUAUUAUAUUAUAUAUAUUUGCUUAAAUAUUAAGUAAAACAUAUUAUAAUAUAUAUUUUAACUUUAAUUUUUUAAUAAUAUACAUAAUAAUUUUACCUUAUGCUGCCUCACUAAAGAAGCAAUGAUAUAAUUUCUUCUUUAGUCCCUUUAAUUUUUCUUUAAUUUAUAAUUCAACUUUCACCCUAUAUGAAAUUUAGUCCUUAUACCUAAUUACUUUUAAUUCAUGCAAAUUCACUUAACCAAAACCUAAUUAACUACACAACUAGCUUCAUAAAUAUUUUUAAUAAAUAUUUUUGAGUCCGAUUUACGGGAACGGAGUUUCAAAAAUGCACUUUCUGACACCCCUGACUAUCGGGUCGUUACAGUUAGGACGACGAAUGGAGGAACGAGAAGAGGAAUAGGGAAAAAGGAAAAUGGAAUUCCAUUAAGAUACCGCUAUACGGUGUUACUGUGUGUAAGUCAUGAUGUGCGAAGCUUCAGGCCUUGCAGGGGACAUUUCAAUAUUCAAACAUCAAGCUUAAAUAUGAUAUGAAUCGAUAUCGACAUUUAUUAGGUUCCGUAAAGCAACAUCACGACCACAGCCAAUAGACUCUAUGAUGCGACAUCACGACGGCGAUAAGGUCUUAUGGGGCAACACCUCUAAAGAGGUCUAAUGUGUAAGACCAUAUCUCGACCAGUAUGGUCCUUGGGGACAAUAAACACGGGAUAGUCCGCUAGGAUAGUGAACACGAUGUCAUAGAUAGAGUGUGUAAGAUCAUGGCUUGACUAUGGCAAUAUAGAGAUAGCCCGUCAGGACAUUUAGAACGAGGUAGUCUACCAUGACAUUAAAUAUAGAGAAUAUGGCGUAAGACCAUAGCUCGAUUAUUAUAACAUAGAGAGUUCAUAAGGACAUCAGAUAUGGGAUAGUCCACCAGAACGAUAAAAGUAAGAAGUUUCCUAGGACAGUGAAUAAGGAAAUUCAUGUAAACAAGGAAAAUUACAAGUAUUGGCAGUCAAUAGCCAACUAGCAGAUUUGAGAAAACCGCUAAAAUGGAACAAAGGUAAUAGAAAUGGGAAAAGAUUGCCCCUUUGAUAAACAAGAGGAACAAUAAGGCGUAUGGCAACGACCGAGUUAAGAACUAUUAGGGGAAAGAUGUACCGUUAAUAAUUCAUGGAAAGACAAUGAAAGGGGAUCUAUCCGUAGGUUACGGUUAAGGAUCUGCCAUUAAGAACCUCCAUGAAGCCCUGCAUGCUAGUGAAAAUCCUUAAGAGGUUAUUGGGAAAUUCACUCUCGACAUAAACCUUGUCGAACUUAUAGUCUGAGCGGGGAAGAUUAAUCGUCUACUCUCUGGAUCAAUGAAUUGGUAAAAAGGGGUUAGUUAGAACCCAUCGGUAGGAGGAGACGCUAAAAAGGUUAGUCCAAGUAACAAUUACGUUUGUCAAGACUAUUCUUUUUUUAAGAAAGUCUAUUGUGAGUAUACCUGUUAAGGAGUAGUUUCAUGGGGAAAAUGUCAUACAAUAGGGAUUGGUAACUAGAGUGGUAAACCAAAUAUCAGUCUACUAGAAACUAUAAGUCCAAAUUGUCCAGUUGCAAACAGAUAUAUUACAUACUAAAACCAAUAUGUUGCAAAUAGGGCAGGUUACGAAGAAGUAAUCUGAAACAACUUUUCAACCCGAAUGUAGCGUGAAAUGAUAUUUAGUCUGCCAGAGUGGCAGAGGACCUCAUUAGUUAUCUCGACAGAUAGAGUGUUGGCAAGUCCUUCGGGACUCUGGUAAGUAAGGGGGACCGCCAUGGAUUAAAUAGAUUUGAAUAAUCACCUAGGAGGGAGCUACCUAAGGGCCAUUAGGAGGGUAGGCCGAAUGACUACCUUAUACGUACAUAGUGGAAAGAAGAAUCCACAUUGAGGUAUGAAUGAAAGAAAGAAUACAAAUACAGGAAGGGCAGAGUCCGUAGAUAUGACGAGUCAUCUAAGGAACCAUUGAAAUUAGUUAAAAGGUGACAGGAUGGUUUAUAGAAAGAUUGUUUAACAAUCUAAUCACAAUAGAUAAGUUCAAAAAACAAAUCAGAGACCGUCAGGUCAAGUUGAGAGAAGUUACCUAAAAAAUAAGUACGGAGUUAAUUGUAUUUAGUUUCCUUUCUUUUACUACCCCUACAAGGCAUGGUCUAUUUGUGAGAAAUCUAGUAAGAAACUCACAAAAUGCUUUUGGAACUUAUAGAAUUUUAACAUAUAGUUGUAGGAAUUCGCGGGAUAAGGAAUUCAAUGAGGGAUUAAGCCAGACUGUAUUAGAUCAAGGAUCUACGUCAGAAAGGUGUCAUGCACAUUAGAAAAAUGUGGUGCCUUCAAAGGUUUCACCUCAGGGUCAAAUUAUUGUAGUCGAAUAGUUCCCUUAGAGUUGAGAUUGGAGAUAGUAAACUUUUAUUUUGAAUUCGUUGUAUCUAUUGUAAGAAUUUUUAUUAACAAGUAAUACAGUUUGUUUUCAAUAUAGUGAGUUUAAAAUUUGUUGAUCAAAUUAGGUUCAUUUGUAGCACCAUAUACCCAGAUCCAGUGAUUGGGUUGUGUGAGGGUGUUACAACAUCAAGUGUGCCUUUAAUACAACCAAGUUUACAACCCUAAGGUUUAAAAAAAUGUCUUUAAAGUGCAUAAGUUGACUUGAGUUGGUGUUGGAAACAAAAUUGCCUCUGCAGUAUUUUUCACCCUGUUAAGCUUCAGUGUUGCGACAGACAAGCUUCGAUGUCACGACGUCUUCGAAAGUAGGCACAAUUUUGGCUUUGGAGUUCUCGAUGUCGUGACACAAAUUAGAUGGUGUCACAACAUCCUCAAUAGUAGCCUUGGUUCCUUCACUUCAACCAUCAACUGUAGAGUCACAACUUUAAAGGCUUAGAGUCGAGAUCGAGGCUCGAUUUCAUGACACAACACACUUGGUGUCACGACAUCCUUGAAAGACUGCUCCAGGUUGGUUUCUCGUUGAAGUUUUACUCCUCUGAGGUAAUGAAGGAUUAGUGUUGCGACAUCCUUUCAUUAGUGUCACAACACCCAAAGUAGUUGAUAUUUUCCUCAAGGUUUGGUCAUAGCCAUUUCCUUACACACACUCAAAUUAACCAUUAAAGUCCUAACAGCAUAGUUUUGCCAAUUUGGGUCUCAAAAGGAUUAAAAGGACAGAAAACUAUCAUUAACACUAAAAAGUAUAAGCGAACAAAAAGCAUUAAAAAGACUCGUCAAUUACUUGAGAACAAACUCAUCAAGUGUUCGCAAGAGCCUAAUUUGAUAUAUCAUAUUACGAUAAAUCAAUUUCUUAAUCUAUUUCUAUUUUGAAAGUAUUUUAGAAUAAUAAAUAUUUUCAUGAGUUAAUUUUGACCUAUAUUUUCUUGAGUUUUAUAUGUUUUUUUUUGUUUGUUUUCCAUUUCUUAUUAAGUAUUUUUCACUUUUAGAAGUUUUCGUCCACUCUUGUAGCACUUUUUUAGUCUUGCUUAUGAAUGUAGUCUCACUUUAUAAGUGAAUUUAGGGAGUAAGUGAAUUUAGGGAUGGUUUUUUCGUCGUCCUCUCUAGUUUAGUGGAUGCUCGAUUCUUUUGCUGAUUUUGCCCACCUGUCGUUUUGGACCAUCCAGGGCUAGUUUUCUUAUUAUGAUAGUUGCUUGCAAUCACUCUAGAUAUGUCAUGCUUGAGUUAUGGCAAAGCCGAUUGUUAACAUGUUGUAAUAUUCUACUAAUGUUGUGUUUGAAGUCUUUAUCGUGUUGAUAAAGCUUGUCCUUCAUUAUCGAUGAUGGGUAUUAAUUGUUUUUUUUUCUUGAUUUGUAUGUUAGUAGUUUGCAAUGUUAAUAGUCUCACAUUGCUAACAAAUUUAAGUAUAAAUUAUUUAAAUAUACAAUUCUUUGUAACCUGGAUAAUUGACUUAAGUGCCUAGCCCAUUGGAAAAGUGGACGAGUUUACCUAUUGGGCUUUAUAUAAAUAUUUUAAAGGUAAAAAUAUGUGCAUUUCGGACUCUUGGGAUUUAAUUGUUGGUGCAAAUAAUUUGUAUAUAUAUAAUUAUUAUUUUUUAUUGUCUGAAAUAAAUUAUAAUUAUUAUUUAUUUGCAUUUGAACAAUCUUAUUCAAAUAGACAUAAUUUCAAAAAAAAAAAGAAUCUUAAUGAAAAGCACGAUUUUUCUAAAAAGUUACAAUGUUACAGAAAAAUGUAACUUACACCAUAAGUUUUGUAGUAAGUGUCUAUAUAUAAAACUCAAAAAUAUCAUUUUCACUAUUCUAUUUUUGUUGUUGUAUUCUAGAGGCAAAAUUAAUAGUCUAUUUAUUUUCUUUUAAUUUUCUUUUCUUGCACCAUAAAUUUCUUUCUUGUACUAAAUUUUUUUUUAAUAUUGUAUGGUUGUAUUUAUGAAAUGAAUUAAUAAAUUUUUUCUUUAAAAAAUAAUUAUGUAUAAGCAUGUGAUAAAUUUGACAGUAACAAAGUAUAUGUAAUGCAACAAAUUACGCACUCAAAAAUAAAUAUAUAAAAUUCAUAAAUAAUAAGGUAAAUGUACGUUUUGAUAUUUGAACUUAGUUUUAGAGUUCAAAUUGGUACCUAAAAUUUUUAUUGGUAAAUGUAUGUCAAUUUGCUUUUAAGGUUCAAUUUAAUAGCUAAAAUUUAUUUUGGUCCAAAUAGGUAUGUGAACUUGGCUUCUCGGUUAAAAUUGGUACAUGAAUUUAGCUUUUUUUUUCAAAUCAGUACUUAAUUAUAUGGACCAAUUUGAACUAUAAAGCCAAGUUUAAAUGCCUAAUUAAACAAAAAAAAGUUUAAGUAUUAAAUUAAACAUUUAAAUGAAGUUUAGGUACCUAAAUAAAUAAUCUUAAAUACCAAUUUAAAUCUUGAAACUAAAUAAAAUAAAAUUUAUUAACAUAUUAUUAAGAAUAAAAUUAUUUGAGCCAUAACAAUUCAAGGAAAUCUCAAAGAAUCCUUGAGAAAUAAAAUAAAUGAAUCUUCUAUUUUUGCAAUUUUUAAAAAUUAUAUUCAUGAAAUUUAGAUAAGUUUUCCGUACUCCAUUGAUCUUUAGUAAACUUUUAAAAUGAAAUAAUUUUUUACUUAAAAAAUUAUUUAAGCAUACAACACUAAGAAUCUUUAGAAAAUUCCUAAAGUGCAGUCUGAAAAAUCCUUUAGUCCGACCUCCACCUCACGGAUCUUGAGAAUUUUUUUUUUUAAAUGAAAUAGAAUUUACAUUCUGAAUAUUUUUUAAUCCACAACACCCCAUGAAUUUUUAGAAAUUUUUUAACAAAUCACUUGGUUGGCACCUUGUAAAUCUUUUUAAAAACCGAAAUAAAAUUAUUUUUCGGAAAAUAAAAAAAUCAAUUUUAUAUUCCAUGUUUGGGCAAUAGACAUAUACACCACUCAAUCACAUACUAUUAGCUACAAUUUGAUAGUAAAAACAAGAAAAAGAAAAUCUCAAAUUUUAUACAACCAACACAAACUGCUGUAAAACUCCACAAUUGUUAAGAGCAAUCCAUUGUGGGAUUCACGCAAAUUGAAAUAAAUCCGCAUAUACUAGAGUUUGUUUCCUUUUUUCAUGAUGAUGUUGCAGAUGAGGGAGAAACAGUGAAGGGUUCUUGUUCUUCACAGGUGAGCAUAUCAUGAGGACCAGCUUCUUCUCGGCCAACUCCCAAAAGGUCAAGGUAAUAAAGGUAAUGAGAGAUCAUAUUGUUCAUGGAAUCACUAUCACCUUGACCACAAACUUGGUCACCAUAAAGAACAUUCAUGGUGGUUCCAAAACCUGGAACCCUCUUGGCCAAGGUGUCGUUCUUGGUUGGUUUCCAGUUGCCAACGAAAACGUCAUGGGCUGAGGGUUGGUGUUUCUUCAUCGGCGUCAUCCACCUCCACAUUGCUGUCUGGAAAGCCAAGGUUGCGUUGUCUUCUAAGUAUUCUGGGUGGUUCAACAAGUCCACCUUCAAAGCCUCUCCAGUUUCCCCAUAGUUGUAGUUCCAGUAGAUAGGCAAGGCACCACGGCCAUGAUAUGAGACUCCUGGUGUGCAAGGAUAGGUGUAUUUAUAGUAAUCAUCGCAAUAUAUUUUGCUAGGGCUCAUUUCUUUGUUGUAGCAAAGACCCCAAGCCAAUGGUCCCCCGGUAGCGACUCCAUAGCCACCUGAAAUUAUUAUAAACCAGAGCCAUUGUUCAAGAAUAACAAACAGUUAGAUAAGCCACAUUCGUUUACAUUGCUCUUGGAUGAUCAAAAGUAAUAUUAAACACUUUUAACUAAGCACAUAUUUACUUACAUGAAGUUUUGCUGCCGACAUGUCCAAGAAAAGCAGCGACUUCCUUCAUAUUCUGGAGCUUUUCCCCGGUGGUACAAAAUCCAUGAGGCUGAUACUGAGCAGCAGCAGUAAUGAAGGAAUGGUAAUCCCAGAACCCAACCGCAUGUGCUACCGGCGUGUUACGCUUCGCAAAAAGGUCCUCAAACUGGUAAGUUUGGAAGUAAUCAGAAAUGGUAUGGUUGCAACAAUACUUUGACCACCCUUUACAUUCCCACCCUUUGUCACACAGCUUCUUGCCCUUUACCAUCUUCACCAAUGGCUUCAACGAUUCCUGGCAGUUGGCCAGUGCCACCAGCAUUGCCGCCACUGAAAAAAGAACCAGCCAUUUGGCUUCCAUUAUCAAAGAUACAAAGCAAAAU